AUAUGCAUAACUGAAGUAGAACUUGACUUUACAUUAGACUGCAGAUAAGUUCUAGAUUCCCAGCAAAGGAAGCACCAUGUGUGAUAUAGUACAUACGGGUCAUGAGCAUAUUCAGAGUACAAAAUCUGGAUUUGGUGCAUCAAAAGAUAACAGCGCAUACAAAAAGUUAACAAGCUGCAGAUGAAAAGGUUGUUGCUGCUUUUCAUUUGGCUGCUGGAACUGAAACCCGAUCAGUAGCCUUUCCACAGCGUUGGAUCUCCAUAGCUCGUAAUUGUUCGAUAGGAUUUUUCUGAUGCCAAGGUUCAAAUAUCAUCCCGCAUUUCUUCCCCAGUUCCGAUAUUUAAGCUGCUGUCAAAGAAUUCAGGAACAGGAUAUCUGCCUCCCUUAACGAGUCUUCAAUUAGCCCCAGUGAUUUGAUUUUUUUCGACCGUAAUCGGGCACUCCGCUUGGCUGGCAUAGUGACAUCCCUCUUCGCUUGGGAAAGCUUGUGGGGCUGAUCUAUGUUGGGAGGUUGCUGAUAUUGUUGGUCCUCUGCUCCUUN
RNAcentral lists this long non-coding RNA (541 nucleotides) under Elaeis guineensis (African oil palm). RNAcentral's name for it is "long non-coding RNA (EGUI_LNC023184)". The record is from RNAcentral. Lineage: Eukaryota; Viridiplantae; Streptophyta; Magnoliopsida; Arecales; Arecaceae.